GCACAAGCAGUGGAUUAUGUGGUUUAAUUCGAAGCAACGCGAAGAACCUUACCAGGGUUUGACAUCCAACUACGAAGCAGAGAUGCAUUAGGUGCCCUUCGGGGAAAGUUGAGACAGGUGGUGCAUGGUUGUCGUCAGCUCGUGUCGUGAGAUGUUGGGUUAAGUCCCGCAACGAGCGCAACCCUUAUUGCUAGUUGCUACGCAAGAGCACUCUAGCGAGACUGCCGUUGACAAAACGGAGGAAGGUGGGGACGACGUCAAAUCAUCAUGCCCCUUAUAUCCUGGGCUACACACGUAAUACAAUGGCAUUAAACAGAGGGAAGCGAAGGAGCGAUCCGGAGCAAAUCCCUAAAAAGGUGUCUCAGUUCGGAUUGCAGUCUGCAACUCGACUACAUGAAGUCGGAAUCGCUAGUAAUCGCGGAUCAGCAUGUCCGCGGUCGAAUACGUUCCGGGUCUU
Molecule: ribosomal RNA, 457 nt
Filed under: uncultured Oscillospiraceae bacterium
Lineage: Bacteria; Bacillati; Bacillota; Clostridia; Eubacteriales; Oscillospiraceae
Description: bacterial SSU rRNA
Rfam family: Bacterial small subunit ribosomal RNA
Source: RNAcentral